RNAcentral lists this ribosomal RNA (1340 nucleotides) under uncultured bacterium. RNAcentral's name for it is "partial 16S ribosomal RNA". It matches the Rfam family "Bacterial small subunit ribosomal RNA", at positions 28 to 1380 of the family's 1533-position model. The record is from RNAcentral.
GACGAACGCUGGCGGCGUGCUUAACACAUGCAAGUCGAACGGUAAGGCUCCAGCUUGCUGGGGUACACGAGUGGCGAACGGGUGAGUAACACGUGGGUGACCUGCCCUGCACUUCGGGAUAAGCCUGGGAAACUGGGUCUAAUACCGGAUAGGACCGCACCGUGAGGGUGUGGUGGAAAGUUUUUUCGGUGUGGGAUGGGCCCGCGGCCUAUCAGCUUGUUGGUGGGGUAAUGGCCUACCAAGGCGGCGACGGGUAGCCGGCCUGAGAGGGUGGACGGCCACAUUGGGACUGAGACACGGCCCAGACUCCUACGGGAGGCGGCAGUGGGGAAUAUUGCACAAUGGGCGGAAGCCUGAUGCAGCGACGCCGCGUGGGGGAUGACGGCCUUCGGGUUGUAAACUCCUUUCACCAUCGACGAAGGGUUUCUGACGGUAGAUGGAGAAGAAGCACCGGCUAACUACGUGCCAGCAGCCGCGGUAAUACGUAGGGUGCGAGCGUUGUCCGGAAUUACUGGGCGUAAAGAGCUCGUAGGUGGUUUGUCGCGUCGUCUGUGAAAUUCCGGGGCUUAACUCCGGGCGUGCAGGCGAUACGGGCAUAACUUGAGUACUGUAGGGGAGACUGGAAUUCCUGGUGUAGCGGUGAAAUGCGCAGAUAUCAGGAGGAACACCGGUGGCGAAGGCGGGUCUCUGGGCAGUAACUGACGCUGAGGAGCGAAAGCAUGGGGAGCGAACAGGAUUAGAUACCCUGGUAGUCCAUGCCGUAAACGGUGGGCGCUAGGUGUGGGUUUCCUUCCACGGGAUCCGUGCCGUAGCUAACGCAUUAAGCGCCCCGCCUGGGGAGUACGGCCGCAAGGCUAAAACUCAAAGGAAUUGACGGGGGCCCGCACAAGCGGCGGAGCAUGUGGAUUAAUUCGAUGCAACGCGAAGAACCUUACCUGGGCUUGACAUAUACAGGAUCGCGCCAGAGAUGGUGUUUCCCUUGUGGCUUGUAUACAGGUGGUGCAUGGUUGUCGUCAGCUCGUGUCGUGAGAUGUUGGGUUAAGUCCCGCAACGAGCGCAACCCUUGUCUUAUGUUGCCAGCACGUUGUGGUGGGGACUCGUAAGAAACUGCCGGGGUUAACUCGGAGGAAGGUGGGGAUGACGUCAAAUCAUCAUGCCCCUUAUGUCCAGGGCUUCACACAUGCUACAAUGGUCGGUACAGUGGGUUGCCAGUCCGUGAGGGCGAGCUAAUCCCGCAAAGCCGGUCUCAGUUCGGAUCGGGGUCUGCAACUCGACCCCGUGAAGUCGGAGUCGCUAGUAAUCGCAGAUCAGCAACGCUGCGGUGAAUACAAUCCCGGGCC